RNAcentral lists this non-coding RNA (26 nucleotides) under Homo sapiens (human). Lineage: Eukaryota; Metazoa; Chordata; Mammalia; Primates; Hominidae. The record is from RNAcentral.
UGACGGUGUUGCUUCAGAGAGGAGUC